GAGACCCCCUUCUGGGGCAAGACUUGCUUCAUUGGGUCUUUAGUGCUCACUGAGUCUGCCCCCUGGUGUGUCUCU
This is a non-coding RNA of Myotis davidii, 75 nucleotides long. Lineage: Eukaryota; Metazoa; Chordata; Mammalia; Chiroptera; Vespertilionidae. The record is from Rfam.